AACGAACGCUGGCGGCAGGCCUAACACAUGCAAGUCGAGCGCGCCCUUCGGGGUGAGCGGCGGACGGGUGAGUAACGCGUGGGAACGUGCCCUUUUCUACGGAAUAGCCUCGGGAAACUGAGAGUAAUACCGUAUACGCCCUUUGGGGGAAAGAUUUAUCGGAAAAGGAUCGGCCCGCGUUGGAUUAGGUAGUUGGUGGGGUAAUGGCCUACCAAGCCGACGAUCCAUAGCUGGUUUGAGAGGAUGAUCAGCCACACUGGGACUGAGACACGGCCCAGACUCCUACGGGAGGCAGCAGUGGGGAAUCUGAGACAAUGGGGGCAACCCUGAUCUAGCCAUGCCGCGUGAGUGAUGAAGGCCUUAGGGUUGUAAAGCUCUUUCAGCUGGGAAGAUAAGGACGGUACCAGCAGAAGAAGCCCCGGCUAACUCCGG
This 432-nucleotide ribosomal RNA is filed under the name uncultured bacterium. RNAcentral describes it as "partial 16S ribosomal RNA". It matches the Rfam family "Bacterial small subunit ribosomal RNA", at positions 29 to 506 of the family's 1533-position model. The record is from RNAcentral.